AGGAUGAGGAACAUGGUGUUGCAGUUCAAACCAGUUCCAGCCAAAAUGGACUCUAGUCACAAACAAAUAGUAAUAACAAUCCAAACUUGUGGCUGAAUAGAGUUCUGAAGUUUUGAGAAAGAGUUGGGAUCCAGAGAACCUUCCCCUUCUGAGCAGCAAAACCAAAUAAAGCAGUUCUCAGGAUACAAAGACAAGACUGAGGAAGAUCCUAAUAAGGUGUUGCAAGGUGACACAGGACAAACUUUGUCCAAAGGAAAUUGAUCUGACAAGAACUUCUGGACUUGUCAGUUCUUAGGGCUGACUGGUCUAUCCUCUUUCUAUUGACUUUGGCUUACUAGACUCAAGCAGAAAGUGACAAGGGAAGAAAAGGAUACAAACAGAAGCAAGUUUCCAAGAACAAGGUUUACAUCAGGAAGAGCCAAUCAAAGAUCAUAUCUGGAGGACUGCUGCAAAGUUGUGAUAAAUGACCAAAUAGUAUUUUUAUAGAAGGUGGAAUGAAUGACAGACUAAAGAUUUCAGCUGAUUAAAGAAAUUAUGGAGUGCAUCAUUCUCAGUUUAUAUUGAACUGGGGUUCCUGAGAAAUUCCUCCUUAUAAAUUUACAUGGAAAUUAUAAUUUUUACUAGUUGAUUUCAGUUAAUUAGCCUACUGAA
Molecule: long non-coding RNA, 651 nt
Organism: Homo sapiens (human)
Lineage: Eukaryota; Metazoa; Chordata; Mammalia; Primates; Hominidae
Gene: CCDC54-AS1
Product: CCDC54 antisense RNA 1
Source: Ensembl